AUCUCUCUUUCUCUCUAUCUCUCUCUCUCUCUCUCUCAUUGGCAGCUCCAUAGCCACCCAGACAGAAGUGACUGGAAUAAAGUAUCAUCACGUCACCUGGGUGUACGCACCUCGCGUCGAGGGAAACAUUGGAGAGCCUUAGGCUCCUUCCUCCCUCCUCUCCUGCUGUGAACCCCCUCCGCUUUGUUUCCUCAACACCACCGGCUCAGCCACAAGGAAGGAACCUUGUCACCUCCUGCGUCGGACAAGGAAAAGGAACUUUUACUCGAUCUUUUCCUGGAAGCUGGUUUCAUAUGGUGUCUUAGAUUGUACCAGUGCUGACUCUAGCACCAUUUGAAAUCAGUGUUCUUGGAAGAAGAAAAGCAGCUGACGGAUGUGUGUGGGGUGGGGUGGGGAGCGUUAAAACUUGUGAUGUGCAAACCCGUCUUAAGAAAGCACGUUUCGGUCAAACCCUCUGCGAGCAAAUCGAACGACUUCAGAAUAAAAGAAGAAUCCUUGCGUUUUUGUCUCUGUUGCAAGCGGGAGCGAUCCAUCCCUCUCCUCCCGUUCUCUCCUUUAGGAAGGUCGAGCGUGGGCGGAGAACAGGACUGCAGGAGCCACUGUCGACCUCUCCAUUCCUCCCGUGCAGAAACUUUCGCACGUGUCUCGAUCGAUGCAGCAGAUCAAUAAAACUCUUACCAGCUCAGCGAUCGCCCUGCAAAGCAGCGCCAGUUGUGGCCCACCCGCAGGACAGCCUCAGAAGGCGCUGGGUUUAGCCCGGCAAUGUCAAUUAAUGCGUGGCUUGCUGUCAGAAUUGUGCCGUUGCUGUUCGCAAUCCUACAUCGUCCACAGCAACAGCAACUCGCACUUAAAUGGUGCUUCUCUGUAAAAGAGCUGGAGCUCGUUUCUAAAUGGAGACUGGGUCGCUGGUUGAGUGAUUGUUUGCUGACCGCCCUCACGAUGGCAUCCGAACAAUCAGCAGUUUCCAUUUCUAACAUGAUUUGUGACAGUGUAAAAGAAUGUCUUCUCUUCCCCACGAGACAGUAACUUGAAACUAGAGCAAGUCAGUUAUACAACAUGCAAUCUGACCGUGAUGUGCAUGUAGUUUGUUGCAGGUCUAAGAUUAUUCUUUCACUAAUAAAAGAGGCCCCCACCAGAACGGGCAAUGGGGAUGGAUCACAGCUGUCAGUCGAGUGGCGGAUCAUUAAUCCCUUCAAUAAAGACGAAGAAGAAUUUGGUCACUCAAUCCACGG
Molecule: RNA transcript, 1232 nt
Organism: Callorhinchus milii (elephant shark)
Lineage: Eukaryota; Metazoa; Chordata; Chondrichthyes; Chimaeriformes; Callorhinchidae
Exons: 4
Source: RefSeq, a predicted model, not a curated record